This is an RNA transcript of Periophthalmus magnuspinnatus, 5199 nucleotides long. It is a transcript of the gene named formin-like 3, with no coding region annotated. Lineage: Eukaryota; Metazoa; Chordata; Actinopteri; Gobiiformes; Gobiidae. The transcript has 26 exons. The record is from RefSeq and is a predicted model, not a curated record.
AAAGUCUAAUCAGGAUCACACAACAAUAAUGAAUGGAAACACGCUGAAGCCAAGAAAGUUAAGCGGAGGCUAAAUUAACUUUGGUCGGCAUUUUAUCACAUUUUUCAUUUGAAAGUGAUGGAUUGGCCAGGAAAAGCAGAAGAACUUCAUUGGAGACAGUGGAUAUGGACUUUUAUUGUGAGUUUUUAGACAAACUUUGGAUGGAAAAUACAGUGGAAACACUGUAAACCCAAAGCGUGUGACAUAAAUGGCAUUUUGGGACACAAACACAAAACUUUGUUUCUCGCCCUGGAAAAUUGUAUUGUUCGGAACCAUCUGUUGAAUCUGGUGCUGGGACGCUCGUGCGUUACGCACGAAAAGAAAAGGCGCACAGAAAGGAAGCGCUUCACGAAACUAUUGGAAAACUAAUUGAACAAAAUGGGAAAUAUAGAAAGUGUAGACGGUCAGUCAGAAAUGAAGCAUCAUAUUAUGCCUUUGAAGGUGCCUAUGCCUGACCCCACAGAGCUGGAGGAGAAAUUUGCAAUUGUUCUGAAUUCUAUGAACUUGCCUCCGGAUAAGGCCCGCCUCCUUCGACAAUAUGACAAUGAAAAGAAGUGGGAUCUCAUUUGUGACCAGGAGAGAUUCCAGGUCAAAAAUCCCCCUCACACAUACAUCCAGAAACUGCGAGGAUACUUAGACCCUGGCGUCACGCGAAAGAAGUUUCGGAGGCGGGUGCAGGAGUCGACCAAAGUCCUGAGGGAACUGGAGAUAUCUCUAAGGACGAACCACAUUGGGUGGGUCAGGGAGUUCCUCAACGAUGAGAACAGAGGCCUAGACAUCCUGGUGGAGUACCUCUCCUUUGCCCAGUGUGCAGUCAUGUUGGAUUUUGAGGGGCUGGAGAAUGGUGGGGAGGAUGGCUUUUUGGACAAGUCUAGAUCAUGGAGCAGGUCUAUUGAAGACUUGCACAAUACAAGCACUCAACCCUUUUGCAACACACUGGUGCGCUCAGCCCGUCAGUCUGUCCUUCGCUAUGGCUCAGUUUCAAACAGCAAAACCAUCAAGAACUCGCGCCUCGUGAGCCAAAAAGACGACGUGCAUGUGUGCAUCAUGUGUUUACGAGCCAUCAUGAACUACCAGUAUGGCUUCAAUAUGGUGAUGUCCCAUGCACAUGCAGUCAAUGAAAUAGCGCUGAGCCUGAACAACAAGAACUCGAGAACAAAAGCUUUAGUCCUUGAGCUGUUGGCUGCUGUAUGUUUGGUUCGAGGUGGACAUGAAAUCAUCCUUUCAGCAUUUGACAACUUUAAAGAGGUGUGCAAGGAGAAGCAUCGGUUUGAGCGACUGAUGGAUUAUUUCCGUGGAGAAGAGGGAAACAUUGACUUCAUGGUGGCCUGUAUGCAGUUCAUCAACAUUGUGGUCCACUCUGUAGAGGACAUGAACUUUAGGGUCCAUCUGCAGUUUGAAUUCACCAAAUUAGGACUAGAUGAUUACUUGGAGAAAUGUAAGCAUACAGAAAGUGACAAGCUCUCAGUUCAGAUACAGGCCUACCUGGAUAAUGUGUUUGACGUGGGAGGUCUGCUGGAAGAUGCAGAGACAAAGAAUGCAGCUCUUGAAAAAGUGGAGGAGCUGGAAGAGCACCUGUCCCAUGUGACAGAAAAGCUUCUGGAGGUGGAGAAUGAGACAAUGAUGAAGGUAGCUGACCUGGAGAAGGUGCUUAUUUUAAAGGAUAAGGAACUCCAGGCAGUGCGGGAGACAUAUGAGUUCACAAACACCCAGGUCACCACCCUGAGGAGAGUGAUCAAGGAGAAGGAUGCCGCGUUUCAAAGGCACUUCAACAUCGAGAGGCGUCUGCUGGAGCUAGAGCAGCAGGGCACCAUCCGCCUGCACAAGAAGCCUGAUGGAGACAUCUCCAUUGAGCCAUUGGGAGUGGGGCCUGCGGCGAUUCCUCUAGGCAACAUUGGGCAGCUGUCUUUGGGCUCUACACUGCCCCACACUGAACCAGGAGGUCCAGACCUGAGUCUACCACCUGCCAGUGAAGCUCCUCCACCACCACCACCUCCACCACCUCCCCCUCCUCCACUCCCCUCUGCAAUAGGACCUUGUGCUCCAAUUCCUCCCCCACCACCUCCACCUCUUGCUCCUCCUUUGCCUGGAACCUCUCCUUCAGUCAUUUUCAGCACUGGUUUAUCAGCCAUCAAAAUAAAGAAACCAAUUAAAACAAAGUUCCGCCUUCCUGUGUUUAACUGGACUGCCCUGAAGCCCAAUCAAAUCAAUGGCACAGUCUUCAAUGAGAUCGAUGAUGAACGUGUGCUUGAGGAGCUUGACCUAGAGAAGUUUGAGGAGCUAUUCAAAACAAGAGCUCAGGGUCCUGUUGUCGAUCUUUCCUGUACAAAGAGUAAGGUAGCCCAGAAAGCCCAAAAUAAAGUUACUCUAUUGGAUGCAAACCGCUCUAAAAACCUUGCCAUCACAUUACGAAAGGCCAACAAGACAACCGAGGAGAUCUGUAAAGCAAUAGAGAAAUUUGAUCUUAAGGCCUUACCAGUGGACUUUGUGGAGUGCCUAAUGCGCUUCCUGCCCACCGAGGGAGAGGUAAAAGUAUUGCGACAGUAUGAACGCGAGAGAAGACCACUGGAUCAACUGGCAGACGAAGACCGGUUCAUGCUUUUGUUCAGCAAGAUCGAGAGACUCACACAGAGAAUGAACAUUAUCACAUUUGUUGGGAACUUUGCCGAUAAUAUCAACAUGCUUACGCCACAGUUGAAUGCCAUCAUUGCUGCUUCAGGCUCAGUGAAAUCGUCGCCUAAGUUGAAAAGAAUGCUUGAGAUAAUCCUAGCCUUGGGAAAUUACAUGAACAGCAGCAAACGGGGGAGUGUUUAUGGUUUCAAAUUGCAAAGUUUAGAUCUGCUAUUGGACACUAAGUCUACAGAUAGAAAAAUGACAUUGCUACACUACAUCGCACUCAUUGUAAAAGAAAAGUAUCCAGAACUGGCAAAUUUCUACAAUGAACUGCACUUUGUUGAUAAAGCAGCAGCAGUUUCCUUGGAGAAUGUUUUGCUUGAUGUGCGGGAGUUAGGAAAAGGCAUGGAUCUGAUCAGAAGAGAGUGCAGUCUUCAUGAUCACUCUGUCCUCAAAGGAUUUCUCCAGGCCAGUGACACACAGCUGGACAAGUUGCAGAGGGAUGCAAAGACGGCUGAGGAAGCCUUCAACAAUGUGGUAAACUACUUUGGAGAGAGUGCCAAGACGACUCCACCCUCUGUGUUUUUCCCUGUGUUUGUGCGGUUUAUCAAAGCUUACAAGGAUGCAGUGGAGGAGAACGAACAGAAAAAAAAGCAGGAACAAGCCAUGCGGGAAAAGUUACUUGCUCAGGAGGCUAAAGAGCAAGACCCUAAGGUCCAGGCUCAGAAGAAGAGGCAUCAGCAGCAGGAGCUGAUCGCAGAGCUGCGCAGGCGACAGGCGAAAGACCACCGACCUGUUUAUGAGGGGAAAGAUGGCACUAUAGAGGACAUCAUCACAGUACUGAAGAGCGUGCCCUUCACAGCCCGCACUGCUAAACGCGGCUCACGGUUCUUCUGUGAAGCCAACCUCUGUGACGACGCCAACUGCUAGCCCUGUCCCCUAUGCCAAGGUUGUCCAGGACCAGUAUGCCUCCUGCCCCCUGUGCAUGCCGCAUGAUCCCCUUAAAACAUCAACCACAUCUUAUAUCUUCUGUCAACUAACGUGGGCUGCCAUGGGUUAUUUGUGUCACUUCUGUUCCCUCCUAUUUUUAUUAUAGGAGAGAGCCAAACGUCUUUAAACAAAGUCAAUUAUAGUAUACGACUUUGAAAACAAUCUGCUUAUAUUAAAAUAUGAAUAUAAGUGAGGGUAAAGUCAUUUGAAGCAGUUCAUUUAAAUGACGAAAGAGGUUUGGCUUUUUAUGGUGACCACUGCCUUUGAGACUAACCUGUACGGUGUUGGUGUUUCCCACUAAUAAUUCACUCUUCUUUCUUCAUCCACCACCUUUUGUUCCACUCCUCCAGCUCAAAAGAAGAUAAAUGACAGUAUUUUCCACUCCUAAGAGAGGAUCUCCGAAGCCAGCCCUUCCUGCGAGCUGACGCACUGAUCCGGAGUGGUUGGAAGAGACCCUAAAAUGCCUUAAAGAUACUUAUACCACCUGCCCUGACUUAUCCUGCCCAUAACCCUCUUCCUCCCUGUGCUUUCUGGUGGUCCAUAUGCAACACAAGGAUGCAGAUCACAGGACACCACACAGGCCUUUUUCUGCUGGGUAAUUUAUUUAUUUAUAGAGGCCCUUCUAAGCCACUUUAAGGAAAGAGGAAUCAUUGCAGAGACACAAUAGUCUUUCUUCUCCCCCAUGAGCUAACUAUUUUAAAAAACUGAACUGGCUGUGGGACCACACAGCAGAAAAAGUGCUCUCUUGCCUCCAAGAUGGAAUUUACUAAAAUAUGCAGUUCUUAGCAGGACACACCAAGGGAAGAUGCCAACACUGCUGCUGGGAUGUUCAUCUUAAAACGUUAAAGUGUUGACACUGCUUUGAAACAUUUUGACACAAUUCAAUUCACUCAAUUACUUUGUAUUUUACAGAUAUUUAAACAUGCUAGCAAAGCCAAAAUACAGUAUAUCAGAUGUCAUGUUUGUGUCAAAAGUGCCUUUAGUGUAAACAGUGUUAUGUCAUGCAAGUCAGCCAUAAUUCUCUGUCAAUAGUUAUAUUUUUAUUGCCUUAUACAUUUUUGUCUUAAUGUACUUCAAAUAUGCAAAGACUGAAAACCCAAAUGUAAGCUUUUCAAAAGCUCACCAUUUUAAAUGUGUGAUUUGCAGCUCAAAAUGACAUGGCUCUGUGCCAUGUUCACAUGUUGAAUGCUUUUUCUUUUUUACUUUGACAACACUUUCCGUCAUGCAUCACAGUGACAUUUGGAGAGUGACAAAUGAAGAAAACAUGGACUACUUGUUCUCAUUCAGAUAUUGUUGAAUUACACAGUAGGUCUGGUGGUGGAUGAAGGAUGUUUAGCUUGACUUUCUAUAAAACUCUUGUUUUGUGGCAAUAUCCUGUGUUGUGUGCGCAGACACAAAGGGACAUGUAAAACACUAUUGGGUUUAACAUAAAUGAGACACUAUUGUUUCAAUGGAUAUUGAUAUGAAUGUACAUUCCAAUCAUUUUAUUUUAAACAGAUUAUAUUGACCAUCAAGAUGACACUUUGUUUUAAAAAUAAAUAUUGUAACUAAAAGUUU